GGUCUAUUCGUCUAGGGGUUAGGACGCAUCCCUUUCACGGAUGAAACACGGGUUCGAUUCCCGUAUGGACUA
RNAcentral lists this transfer RNA (72 nucleotides) under Xanthocytophaga agilis. RNAcentral's name for it is "tRNA-Glu". It matches the Rfam family "tRNA". Rfam says of the family: Transfer RNA (tRNA) molecules are approximately 80 nucleotides in length. Their secondary structure includes four short double-helical elements and three loops (D, anti-codon, and T loops). Further hydrogen bonds mediate the characteristic L-shaped molecular structure. tRNAs have two regions of fundamental functional importance: the anti-codon, which is responsible for specific mRNA codon recognition, and the 3' end, to which the tRNAs corresponding amino acid is attached (by aminoacyl-tRNA synthetases). tRNAs cope with the degeneracy of the genetic code in two manners: having more than one tRNA (with a specific anti-codon) for a particular amino acid; and 'wobble' base-pairing, i.e. permitting non-standard base-pairing at the 3rd anti-codon position. RNAcentral also lists the same sequence under 1 other name. The record is from RNAcentral. Lineage: Bacteria; Pseudomonadati; Bacteroidota; Cytophagia; Cytophagales; Rhodocytophagaceae.